GUCCGUAUAGCUCAGUUGGUCAGAGCAAUUGACUCAUAAUCAAUAGGUCGGUGGUUCAAGCCCACCUACGGACA
RNAcentral lists this transfer RNA (74 nucleotides) under Flavobacterium phage vB_FspP_elemoA_1-5B. RNAcentral's name for it is "tRNA-Met". It matches the Rfam family "tRNA". Rfam says of the family: Transfer RNA (tRNA) molecules are approximately 80 nucleotides in length. Their secondary structure includes four short double-helical elements and three loops (D, anti-codon, and T loops). Further hydrogen bonds mediate the characteristic L-shaped molecular structure. tRNAs have two regions of fundamental functional importance: the anti-codon, which is responsible for specific mRNA codon recognition, and the 3' end, to which the tRNAs corresponding amino acid is attached (by aminoacyl-tRNA synthetases). tRNAs cope with the degeneracy of the genetic code in two manners: having more than one tRNA (with a specific anti-codon) for a particular amino acid; and 'wobble' base-pairing, i.e. permitting non-standard base-pairing at the 3rd anti-codon position. The record is from RNAcentral. RNAcentral also lists the same sequence under 59 other names. Lineage: Duplodnaviria; Heunggongvirae; Uroviricota; Caudoviricetes.